Molecule: non-coding RNA, 28 nt
Filed under: Rattus norvegicus (Norway rat)
Lineage: Eukaryota; Metazoa; Chordata; Mammalia; Rodentia; Muridae
Source: RNAcentral
UCUGGCUGCCUUUGGAUCAAGAUGUAGA